This is a long non-coding RNA of Saccostrea cuccullata (small rock oyster), 582 nucleotides long. RefSeq lists it as uncharacterized. The record is from RefSeq and is a predicted model, not a curated record. NCBI's taxonomy places the organism in Eukaryota, Metazoa, Mollusca, Bivalvia, Ostreida, Ostreidae. The transcript has 4 exons.
GGAUACUCUGCCAGACCUCUACUUGAAAUCUGCAAGAUUGUCGUAUGUUGCAUCAGUUUCUGGAGAAGAUGCAAAACAAAGAUCAUCAAAGAGUGUUGGUGGCUAUACUAAAAUAACUGGAAAAUAUGAAGAAAUUAAAGGAUUACGUCAUGACGUUACAGUGCAAAGUGGAUACGAAAGAAAUCAAAGCAAAAAUUAUAAAGGUGGUUGAGUUUUACUUCUUCUAUCAGCCAUUGGAUGACUGGCCCAAUGCACGAGUGAUUUUGGCAGGCCUAGUGAAGGAAAAAGCAUUAUUUGUACAUCCGUACAGAUUUCGAAUGUUUCCACAGUUUCGUAUUCUAUUGGAUAAAAAGAAGCGUGAAGCUUGGGAUGCUAAGACAGGCAGUGCAAAUGUAGCCCAUUUUACAAUUACCAUACCAAUGGAUCUGUGUGAUACUCUUACCGGGACAUUCCAAUGUCAGGCUAAGAUAUUGGCAACUGGUUUCUCGAAGCACAAUAAUGCAUCAUUGGUAACUGGAUGGUACAAACUAGAUCACUCCCAUUUAUCUAAAAAGAGUAAAAACUGUGGGGGAAAAGAAGGAC